Molecule: ribosomal RNA, 467 nt
Filed under: uncultured bacterium
Lineage: Bacteria
Description: partial 16S ribosomal RNA
Rfam family: Bacterial small subunit ribosomal RNA
Source: RNAcentral
GACGAACGCUGGCGGCGUGCUUAACACAUGCAAGUCGAACGAUGACGACCGAGCUUGCUCGGUCUGAUUAGUGGCGAACGGGUGAGUAACAAGUGAGCAACCUGCCCUUCACUCUGGGAUAACCUCGGGAAAUCGGGGCUAAUACCGGAUAUGAGCUCCUGUCGCAUGGCGGGUGUUGGAAAGUUUUUCGGUGAAGGAUGGGCUCGCGGCCUAUCAGUUUGUUGGUGAGGUAGUGGCUCACCAAGGCGAUGACGGGUAGCCGGCCUGAGAGGGCGACCGGCCACACUGGGACUGAGACACGGCCCAGACUCCUACGGGAGGCAGCAGUGGGGAAUAUUGCACAAUGGGCGAAAGCCUGAUGCAGCGACGCCGCGUGAGGGAUGACGGCCUUCGGGUUGUAAACCUCUUUCAGCAGGGAAGAAGCGAAAGUGACGGUACCUGCAGAAGAAGCGCCGGCUAACUACGUG